RNAcentral lists this ribosomal RNA (543 nucleotides) under Triticum aestivum (bread wheat). RNAcentral describes it as "partial small subunit ribosomal RNA". Lineage: Eukaryota; Viridiplantae; Streptophyta; Magnoliopsida; Poales; Poaceae. The record is from RNAcentral.
AUGGGGGGCACGGCUGCAAACAGAAAUGGCGUAGGCAUCUUGAUCAACAAGAGCCUCAAGUAUGGAGUGGUAGACGUCAAGAGACGUGGGGACCGGAUUAUCCUGGUCAAGCUAGUAGUUGAGGACUUGGUUCUCAAUGUUAUCAGCGCGUAUGCCCCGCAAGUAGGCCACAAUGAGAACACCAAGAGGGAGUUCUGGGAAGGCUUGGAAGACAUGGUUAGGAGUGUACCGGUUGGUGAGAAGCUCUUCAUAGGAGGAGACCUCAAUGGCCACGUGGUUACAUCUAACACAGGUUUUGAAGGGGCGCAUGGGGGCUUUGGCUAUGGCAUCAGGAAUCAAGAAGGAGAAGAUGUCUUAAGCUUUGCUCUAGCCUACAACAUGAUUGUAGCUAACACCCUCUUUAGAAAGAGAGGAUCACAUCUGGUGACUUUUAGUAGUGGCCAACACUCUAGCCAGAUUGAUUUCAUCCUCUCGAGAGGAGAAGAUAGGCGUGCGUGCCUAGACUGUAAGGUGAUACCUGGAGAGUGUUGUACCCCAGCAUAA